CCUACGGGAGGCAGCAGUGGGGAAUCUUGCGCAAUGGGCGAAAGCCUGACGCAGCCAUGCCGCGUGUAUGAUGAAGGUCUUAGGAUUGUAAAAUACUUUCACCGGUGAAGAUAAUGACUGUAGCCGGAGAAGAAGCCCCGGCUAACUUCGUGCCAGCAGCCGCGGUAAUACGAAGGGGGCUAGCGUUGCUCGGAAUUACUGGGCGUAAAGGGAGCGUAGGCGGACAUUUAAGUCAGAGGUGAAAUCCCGGAGCUUAACUUCGGAACUGCCUUUGAUACUGGGUGUCUUGAGUGUGAGAGAGGUAUGUGGAACUCCGAGUGUAGAGGUGAAAUUCGUAGAUAUUCGGAAGAACACCAGUGGCGAAGGCGACAUACUGGCUCAUUACUGACGCUGAGGCUCGAAAGCGUGGGGAGCAAACAGGAUUAGAUACCCUGGUAGUCCACGCCGUAAACGAUGAUUGCUAGUUGUCGGGAAGCUUGCUUCUCGGUGACGCNGCUACGCAUAAGACACUCCGCCGUGGGAGGUACGGUCGCGAGAAUUAAACGUUAAAACGGUAAGUUAGUACGGCGUGAGACGUGCGACGACGACGACGAGGGAGGUAGG
Molecule: ribosomal RNA, 603 nt
Filed under: uncultured bacterium
Lineage: Bacteria
Description: bacterial SSU rRNA
Rfam family: Bacterial small subunit ribosomal RNA (bases 1-516)
Source: RNAcentral